This 875-nucleotide long non-coding RNA is filed under the name Phoenix dactylifera (date palm). RNAcentral describes it as "long non-coding RNA (PDAC_LNC009416)". Lineage: Eukaryota; Viridiplantae; Streptophyta; Magnoliopsida; Arecales; Arecaceae. The record is from RNAcentral.
CUUCCUCUCCUUUUCUUUUCUUUUCUUCUCUUCCUCUCCAGAAACUUCUCCCGGCUUCUUUCUUCUUCUCUCUUCUCUGUUUCUUCUCCUUUCCCCGCUUCUUCCUUUCUUCUUUUCCUUUUUUUUUCCUUCUUUCGUUCCCGAUUCACCUUCUCUUCUCCCAGCUUUCCCCUUCUUCUCAUAUUCUUCUCAACCCUCCCCCUUUCUUCUCCUUUCUUCUCCCACGGAGGGAGGAGGCGAGCUUGGGAGGGGCCAUGCCAUGACCGACAGUGCCUCCAGCCGAGCCCGCUGUGCCCUCGAUUGCGUUUGCAGCCGACGCUCGCGGCCUGCGCGCAUGGCCGAGCCGAGGCUGGCGGCUCCUGGGACGUCUGUGGAUGCUCCCUGUGAUGCCGAUGAACUUGCAGCCGCACACGGGUAAGCCCCCUUUUCCCUCUCUUCUUUCUUUCUCCUUUUCUUCUUCUUCCUCUUCUUUUCUUUUCUUUUCUUUUGAAUUGAUCUAUCCUCCCGAGUGGAUUGGGAGGAGAAAAUGCAGGAAAGGGAAAAUGAGGUGGUUGGGAGGCUUACUUGGUUUCGGGGGGGUGAACUGUGAUGACCCUCUCCGGCGGCAGUGGAGUUUUUUUUUUUUUUUUCAGCGGCAAGAGAGGAAGAAGGUCACCCAACCGGAAGAGGACUCGGCGUGGCGGCUCUACCUCGGGUGGCUUUCAAAUGAGGAGAAGAAGCCCUAAAAAAAUAGGGGUUUCCGUCUUCCUCGGGCGAUCGCGAUGAAUCCCUCUUCAUCGUGUGCCCUNNNNNNNNNNNNNNNNNNNNNNNNNNNNNNNNNNNCUCACAGUCACCUUGUUGGGUCACUUUGGAUCUUCUGAGGACGAGAUCUCCUG